This is a non-coding RNA of Gasterosteus aculeatus aculeatus (three-spined stickleback), 948 nucleotides long. The record is from RefSeq and is a predicted model, not a curated record. NCBI's taxonomy places the organism in Eukaryota, Metazoa, Chordata, Actinopteri, Perciformes, Gasterosteidae.
AGCCUGGACUUCAGAACCAACAAAAGCACGGGUCAGGAGGCCGGGUGGGUCAUCUCCUCUCUUCUAGUUUAUCAUCUGUGUCAGAAAAAAGCUCCACAACCUGAUCAGCAAACACCUCAAAGAAGACAGCAUGGGGAUGAAGAUGUGUGCUAUGCUGCACUGGAAAUCCAACAGACAUCACACAGACCAAAGAAGAAGUUCUGACUUCAGCACCUACUCUGGCAUCAACACUCUACACAAGAAUGUAGAGUCUAAAAAAGGAAAAUAACAACCACAAUUGUUACGUUCCCUGCUCUCAGGCAACGUAACAAAAACAAACACGGGGGAAAAUAAGGAAAGUAUUAGAGAAUAAUCAAGAAUGUAUUAGUUUUAAACAUUGUGGCAGCCAAACCAGCCACAUGCCUCUUUCCCUCUCCCGAUCCCCCUGGAUGAUGGUUUUAAAGGGGCCGGCGCUGAUGGUGCAACCAAACAAGAUGGACCCCCAACUAAGCCUUCUGCUGGGCUGCCUGCAGAACACGGAAAAGAAAGAUACACAGGCCACGAACAAUGGUCAGGGAUGACAACAUCUAACAAUUUGAACAUUUGGAGUCAAAUAGACCAUAGGGAGAAAUAUGCUUUAGGGCGGGGCUAACUGUGAUUGACGGACUACAAAUCAAUUUCCAACCUAUUUUGAUUGACUUCUUCCCCACUUACUCUGAGGAGCACUGUAAACUCCUCACAUCCCUCCAUUUUUGACUGGACUAGGAGUUUUCCCACCUUCAAACCUUUCCCACGGUGUCAUUUCUGUUAAGGGAUAUCGACCAUUCUGUCACUUAUCUUCCGCCAUUUAAAUCUGACAGGCAAUCCUUAUUUAUGGCUUGUAUAUUACCUACAACAUGUUUUGCCGAAAAUACUGUUUGCUUAAUUUCCUCACAACACUUUUAAUAAAUAUAACUUUUUAAAAACCUU